UGGGUAAGUCACUGUAGACACUGGAUGGCCUGCAGGGAUGAAAAUAUCAGAAAGUUGCAGAAAAUGUUUGCCAACUCCCGUCGUAGGGGAACACGAUUGCGUCUGUGUGUCGCUCUUGUAUCCGCAAUCUUGCUGACUGACUUCUUUUGGGGGUUUCUGUGCAGUUUUCCUUCUUUCUAGUCCUUGUAACUUAUUUUUCUCGCUGUCACUGGGCCGGCCACGACCUCUGUGCAGUGUGGAAAGGCAGUGAUUCGGGUCUUCGUCUGCCUCUGGUCUUAGCAAGCCUCGGGUUGCUUUGCUGUGGACUGUGGCUGGAUCCGCUGUGACAGAGGAAGCUGCCUACCUUCCUAGUUUAUGAGAGCUGGUUUUUAUUUGGCAAGUCAUAAAAGGGGGCUCGCUCAUGGCCCUUCGUCUCUGAGCCUCUCUUCUCUCCUAGGCAUGGUUCCCGGGGCGGGGGCGGCACCGGACCUUCCUUCUGUCCCCAGGCUGCACUCCGCAACAGCUACAUAAUUGAAUCUGCUACCAGAGGUCACUUUCUCCAGUCACCUGGCAUAGGCUACAAGAGCCAGCUGCCCAGACUCCUGGACAGAGGGCCACCCACACUCCUGACUCCUCUGUCUGUCUGACCUCAGGUCCCAGAGAGGUAAAUGGUUUGCCGGCCGUGUUCUGGGCAUAUGUGGUUGCCGUGCCUUGUGCAGCCUUGUGUCGUCAGGCUGCUCGGAUCCCAGUUUACAGGAACGGAGGGAGGGACUCUCAGACUGGGCCAUGUCUUCCCCCGACCAGGCUUCUGACGUUUUAUUGUCACAGGUGGUCAGAGCUGGAUGGCUUCUCAGGUCCACCUGACCGGAUGCCUUGCUUUACAGAAGUGAGAACACUGGCCCUACGAGGCUGACCAACUUGUCCAAGGUCACACUGCACAUGGCCCAGUUGAGACCUUUCUUCCGUGGUAAGAAAUGCAGCACAGCCCACGGUCUGGUCACAGAGCUCAGGGAGAGCCCUUCCUGUCUCAGUUCUGUCUGAGGGGCCACAGGCACGAGAGGGUCUGCCUUAGGGCCUGACUGCCCCAAAGUCAUGUCCAGGAGGAGGAAAGGGCAGGAGACGACUCUGCCAGUUGUCCAGGCCUUGACCAGCAGCAGGGCACCCAAUUCAAUUUGCUUAUCUCCCUUCCUGCCUCCCUCUUCCCUGUGCUUUUCAAUUACAGGCAGAGUCAGUAUCUUUUCUAGUAAGUACAAAGAUGUCAAAGGGUCUGAGUGAGCCAGAGAAGAAGGAUGUCCUUGGUGGCCCUCCACACUGACCAGUACAAGUCUUGGAGCCGAAGGAUGGACGAGUCCAGGUCGUCAUGCCUCGCCCUGCCUCCAGCCAGCUGCACAGGAGCAGUCAUGGGUGAGAACACACAUUCUUUGAGCCAGUAAGUCCACCAUGGAAGAAUGUAUGUUUUUUCACAGA
Molecule: long non-coding RNA, 1446 nt
Organism: Neofelis nebulosa (Clouded leopard)
Lineage: Eukaryota; Metazoa; Chordata; Mammalia; Carnivora; Felidae
Exons: 2
Source: RefSeq, a predicted model, not a curated record